CCUACGGGGUGCAGCAGUGAUGAAUAUUUGUCAAUGGACGCGCGUCUUAACCAGCCCAGUAGCGUGAAGGCUGACUGCCCUAUGGGUUGUCAACUUCUUUUAUAUGGGAAUAACAUGUUCCACGUGUGGUCUUUUGUAUGUACCAUAUGCAUAAGGAUCGUCUAACUCCGUGCCAGCAGCCGCGGUAAUCCGGGGGAUCCGAUCGUUACCCGGUUUUAUGGGGUUUAAGGGAGCGUAGGUGGAGUGUUAAGUCAGGUGUGAAAGUUUGCGGCUCAACCGUAAAAUUGCAGUUGAAACGGGCAGUCUUGAGUACAGUAGAGGUAGGCGGAAGUCGUGGUGGAGCGGUGAAAUGCUUAGAUAUCACGAAGAACUCCGAUUGCGAAGGCAGCUCACUGGACUGCAACUGACACUGAGGCUCGAAAGUGUGGGUAUCAAACAGGAUUAGAGACCCGGGUAGUC
This 459-nucleotide ribosomal RNA is filed under the name uncultured bacterium. Its description in RNAcentral is "partial 16S ribosomal RNA". It matches the Rfam family "Bacterial small subunit ribosomal RNA", at positions 338 to 795 of the family's 1533-position model. The record is from RNAcentral.